CACGUCGAGUUCGUAGGAAUUUUCGGGGAAUUUUUCAAACACCCGAGCUAUAUGUUAUGAUUUUCGGAAGUUUUGGACUAAAGAAAUUAUUAAGGGAAAAUAGAAAAUAACGUGGAGCGAUCUAGGCCAUCCAAUCCUCCACCGCUUAAUCUCAGCCCUCAGAUUUACUUUAGAUUUUGGCUAUAAAUAGCCUUAGAUCAGAUCAGCGAUGGAGAAGUAUCGAGAAGAACCCAGCGUUCUCAACCCGUUUCUGCGGCUCGACGACCCGACGGCACCACCCGGAUAAAACUCCUCCGUCCGCCAUAUCUCAGCGGCGGACCACAGGCGUUCGCUUCGUCUCCUUGGCGCCGACGUUCUUCUGGCAUCAGAUUGUUCAAUCGGCGACUGAAUGCAACGGUACGACCUUUCAAAGCUUGAAAUUUUUCCGGCGGCUUCAGCGAUUUCCGGCGAAUCCGGCCACCGUUUGGGCUGCAUGUGGCCAACAAUUGAGAAGCUUGUUGAGCUUCUGGCGUGAGAAUCAGUUCAUCAUCAUCCUGGUCUCGGCAAGGAAUUCUGGGAAGCAGAAUGAGUUGCAGUCGAUUCUCGAAGGUAGGUUUUGACUCUUGAAUCAAGUUUUGUUCUGGUGUUAGUGAUCGGAAGUUAUGGAAUUGAGUUUGACAUGGUUUGAUUGUAACGGACAGCUAUCUGGUUACCGAUUCUGUUAAGAGUUUAUGUUUGGAUCGUGAUGAAUCUGUUAAUGGUGUUGAAAUUGUGGAUUUUGAUAUACUUUGAAUGAUUGCAAUGAUUUUGGUUGUGGAGAUUGAAAA
Molecule: long non-coding RNA, 806 nt
Organism: Rosa rugosa (rugosa rose)
Lineage: Eukaryota; Viridiplantae; Streptophyta; Magnoliopsida; Rosales; Rosaceae
Exons: 2
Source: RefSeq, a predicted model, not a curated record